GGACCCGCACAAGUAGUGGAGCAUGUGGUUUAAUUCGAAGAUACGCGCAGAACCUUACCAACACUUGACAUGUUCGUCGCGACUCUAAGAGAUUAGAGUUUUCGGUUCGGCCGGACGAAACACAGGUGCUGCAUGGCUGUCGUCAGCUCGUGUCGUGAGAUGUUGGGUUAAGUCCCGCAACGAGCGCAACCCUCACUUUUAGUUGCCAUCAUUAAGUUGGGCACUCUGAAAGAACUGCCAGUGAUAAGCUGGAGGAAGGUGGGGAUGACGUCAAGUCCUCAUGGCCCUUACGUGUUGGGCUACACACGUGCUACAAUGGGCAUCUACAACAGGAAGCAAAACGGCAACGUU
Molecule: ribosomal RNA, 351 nt
Filed under: uncultured bacterium
Lineage: Bacteria
Description: bacterial SSU rRNA
Rfam family: Bacterial small subunit ribosomal RNA
Source: RNAcentral